Long non-coding RNA from Oreochromis aureus, 728 nucleotides. The record is from Ensembl. NCBI's taxonomy places the organism in Eukaryota, Metazoa, Chordata, Actinopteri, Cichliformes, Cichlidae.
GGAGACUUCAGCCUCACUCUGAAAAGCCUCCAACUGACUGACACUGGCAGCUACACCUGCUCCAUCAGUGAUGGGAGAGAAGAACUGAGACUUAAAGAUUUACAGCUGAAGGUCAAAGACCAGCAGGUGGAGGUGAAGGUGGAGGAAGGCUUAGAGUUUGUCAUUCUGCCCUGCAAAACAAAACCUGACCUGCCUGAGGACACCAGUGUGGAGUGGACUCACUCUGACCGAGAACUCACAGUGACCCAAGUGCAUUCAAACAACAGUGAUCACCUGAAACAGCUGGACAACCUUUACUGCGGCCGCGGAGAGAUGAACAAAGACCUGCUGAGAACUGGAGACCUCAGUCUGACCCUGAAAUACCCCACAGAGAGAGACAGUGGAGGAUACAUCUGCACCAUCUACAGGGACAAAGACAUCCUGAGACAGAAAGUAGUGCUGCAGGUCAAAGAACCAUUUCUAAUCUGGAACAUUGUUCUUGUGGUUCUCCUGGUUCUUCUUGUGGUUUCUGGAGGUCUUUUAUUUUAUUUCCGGCACUAUUUCAUGUCAGUUUACCAGGUGGAGGUGAAAUCAGGGGUGGAGUCUGUCCUGCUGCCCUGCAAAACCACACUCCGCCUGCCCAAAGACGCUAAAGUGGAGUGGAAGGAUGGUUCUAUGUAUGACAGGAAGGUCCACGUGUAUGAGAACGGCUCUGACCAGCCUAAAAAACAGCAUGAGGAUUACAGAGG